CUUGUUGAUGUUAAACCAUGGAUCCCUGAUGUUAUAGACAAGAUUAAGAGAAGGAAAAUUUCUGAUAUUGCGGAUCCUUCUCAAAUGAAAGCUUUAAGAUUGCCUGACUCUAAAACAGCUGGAAAGGUUGUGAGACUAAUGCAUGUACACCAAUGAUGGCUUGGCUCUGUUAGCGCUGGCCUCUAAUGCUGUUCACAAGAUUUGGAAAUGGCCGCGUGAUGACAGGAAUAAUCCAUCAGGAAAGGCUAGUGCAUAUGUUGUUCCACAGUUGUGGCAGCCUCGGAAUGGAAUUCUUAUGGCUAAUGAUGUAAAUGACAAUAAGACUGCUGAGGAAUAUACUGCAUGCAUUGCUGUAUAUAAAAAUGGUUCUUACAUGAUGUCUGCAUCUGGCGGUAAGGUCUCUUUGUUCAACAUGAUGACAUUUAAGGUAUGCUAUUACUGAUUCUUUUAGAACCAUCUACAAAUAUCUGUAGCAUAAUUUUUGCACUUCAUUUAUAUUUGAUAUCUCUUAUAUUCAAUCUCGUUUAAUUAACUUGUUUAAACCUGGGGUUUGUUUUCCAGGUCAUGACAACAUUUGUGUCUCCCCCUCCUCCAGUCCUGCUGUCACUUUUCUGGCAUUCCAUCCUCAAGAUAAUAGUUUAAUUGCUAUUGGCAUGGACGACACUACUAUUUUAAUGUAUACUGUCAGGGUUAAUUGAAAAACUAAAUGUUAGAUGGAAUUGACAGGUCAAAACCAAACUGAAGGGUCACCAGAAUCGGAUAACGGGCCUUGCGUUUUCCCAAACUCUUAACAUACUGGUUUCUUCAGGAGCUGAUGCCCAGUUAUGUGUGUGGAGCACUGAUGGGUGGGAGAAAAAGAAAACAAGGUUCAUACAAGAACCAACUGGUUGGCAAUCACCAUUGGUUGGAGAAACAAAAGUUCAGUUUCAUAACGAUCACACACAUCUGUUGGUUUCCCAUGAAAGCCAAAUUGCUGUGUAUGACAGCAAGCUUGAUUGUUUACACUCUCUAAGUUAUCCACCCGACAGUCCU
Rosa rugosa (rugosa rose) is the source of this 1032-nucleotide long non-coding RNA. RefSeq lists it as uncharacterized. The record is from RefSeq and is a predicted model, not a curated record. NCBI's taxonomy places the organism in Eukaryota, Viridiplantae, Streptophyta, Magnoliopsida, Rosales, Rosaceae. The transcript has 4 exons.